This 197-nucleotide unclassified non-coding RNA is filed under the name Glomeromycetes sp. RNAcentral's name for it is "partial contains 5.8S ribosomal RNA and internal transcribed spacer 2". The stretch from base 1 to 65 matches the Rfam family "5.8S ribosomal RNA", at positions 84 to 154 of the family's 154-position model. Lineage: Eukaryota; Fungi; Glomeromycota; Glomeromycetes. The record is from RNAcentral.
GUGAAUCAUCAAAUUUUUGAACGCAAAUUGCACUCUCUUUGGAGAGUAUGCCUGUUUGAGGGUCAGUAAUAAUAAAAUCGGGGUGUUGCUCUUUUGUGACACAACGGAGUUUGGGCUACCUUUAACUUCCGGGUUUAAGGGCCUUAAAAUGAACCUUUUUUCGGCACUUUUGGCGUAAAAUAAUUUUUUUUUUUUGU